Molecule: ribosomal RNA, 489 nt
Filed under: uncultured bacterium
Lineage: Bacteria
Description: partial 16S ribosomal RNA
Rfam family: Bacterial small subunit ribosomal RNA
Source: RNAcentral
GACGAACGCUGGCGGCGUGCUUAACACAUGCAAGUCGAACGGUGAAGGGAUCAGCUUGCUGGUUCUGGAUGAGUGGCGAACGGGUGAGUAACACGUGAGUAACCUGCCCCCUUCUUCUGGAUAACCGCAUGAAAGUGUGGCUAAUACGGGAUAUUCUGGGUCUGUCGCAUGAUGGGUCUGGGAAAGAUAUUGUUUCGGUGGGGGAUGGGCUCGCGGCCUAUCAGCUUGUUGGUGGGGUGAUGGCCUACCAAGGCGGUGACGGGUAGCCGGCCUGAGAGGGUGGACGGUCACACUGGGACUGAGACACGGCCCAGACUCCUACGGGAGGCAGCAGUGGGGAAUAUUGCACAAUGGGCGCAAGCCUGAUGCAGCGACGCCGCGUGAGGGAUGGAGGCCUUCGGGGUGUAAACCUCUUUCGCCAGUGAAGCAGGCCUGCUCCUUGUGGGUGGGUUGACGGUAGCUGGAUAAGAAGCGCCGGCUAACUACGUG